CCGCAAGGGGAGUGGCAGACGGGUGAGUAACGCGUGGGAACAUACCCUUUCCUGCGGAAUAGCUCCGGGAAACUGGAAUUAAUACCGCAUACGCCCUACGGGGGAAAGAUUUAUCGGGGAAGGAUUGGCCCGCGUUGGAUUAGCUAGUUGGUGGGGUAAAGGCCUACCAAGGCGACGAUCCAUAGCUGGUCUGAGAGGAUGAUCAGCCACAUUGGGACUGAGACACGGCCCAAACUCCUACGGGAGGCAGCAGUGGGGAAUAUUGGACAAUGGGCGCAAGCCUGAUCCAGCCAUGCCGCGUGAGUGAUGAAGGCCUUAGGGUUGUAAAGCUCUUUCACCGGAGAAGAUAAUGACGGUAUCCGGAGAAGAAGCCCCGGCUAACUUCGUGCCAGCAGCCGCGGUAAUACGAAGGGGGCUAGCGUUGUUCGGAAUUACUGGGCGUAAAGCGCACGUAGGCGGAUAUUUAAGUCAGGGGUGAAAUCCCAGAGCUCAACUCUGGAACUGCCUUUGAUACUGGGUAUCUUGAGUAUGGAAGAGGUAAGUGGAAUUCCGAGUGUAGAGGUGAAAUUCGUAGAUAUUCGGAGGAACACCAGUGGCGAAGGCGGCUUACUGGUCCAUUACUGACGCUGAGGGUGCGAAAGCGUGGGGAGCAAACAGGAUUAAAUACCCUGGGUAGUCCACGCCGUUAAACGAUGAAAUGUUAGCCGUCGGGCAGUAUACUGUUCGGUGGCGCAGCUAACGCAUAAAACAUUCCCGCCUG
RNAcentral lists this ribosomal RNA (760 nucleotides) under Neorhizobium huautlense. RNAcentral's name for it is "bacterial SSU rRNA". It matches the Rfam family "Bacterial small subunit ribosomal RNA", at positions 84 to 875 of the family's 1533-position model. The record is from RNAcentral. Lineage: Bacteria; Pseudomonadati; Pseudomonadota; Alphaproteobacteria; Hyphomicrobiales; Rhizobiaceae.